GUACAUGUGAUGAGCAUCAUACAGUAUGAAAAACAAUGAUACUGUAAACGCUUUCUGAUGUA
This is a small nucleolar RNA of Phascolarctos cinereus (koala), 62 nucleotides long. NCBI's taxonomy places the organism in Eukaryota, Metazoa, Chordata, Mammalia, Diprotodontia, Phascolarctidae. The record is from Ensembl.